UAGUAAGAUCCCUGAAAGAUGAUCAGGUUGAUAGGUCAGAGGUGGAAGCGUGGCGACAUGUGUAGCUGACUGAUACUAAUCGAUCGAGGACUUAACCAAA
Molecule: ribosomal RNA, 100 nt
Filed under: Priestia megaterium
Lineage: Bacteria; Bacillati; Bacillota; Bacilli; Caryophanales; Bacillaceae
Also listed under: 1 other name
Description: Bacillus megaterium partial 23S ribosomal RNA
Rfam family: Bacterial large subunit ribosomal RNA
Source: RNAcentral